GACGAACGCUGGCGGCGUGCUUAACAUAUGCAAGUCGAACGGAAAGGCCCUGCUUUUGUGGGGUGCUCGAGUGGCGAACGGGUGAGUAACACGUGAGUAACCUGCCCUUGACUUUGGGAUAACUUCAGGAAACUGGGGCUAAUACCGGAUAGGAGCUCCUGCUGCAUGGUGGGGGUUGGAAAGUUUCGGCGGUUGGGGAUGGACUCGCGGCUUAUCAGCUUGUUGGUGGGGUAGUGGCUUACCAAGGCUUUGACGGGUAGCCGGCCUGAGAGGGUGACCGGCGACAUUGGGACUGAGAUACGGCACAGACUGGUACGGGAGGCAGCAGUGGGGAAUAUUGCACAAUGGGCGGAAGCCUGAUGCAGAAACGCCGCGUGCGGGAUGACGGCCUUCGGGGUGUAAACCGCUUUCGCCUGUGACGAAGCGUGAGUGACGGUAAUGGGUAAAGAAGCACCGGCUAACUACGUG
RNAcentral lists this ribosomal RNA (468 nucleotides) under uncultured bacterium. Its description in RNAcentral is "partial 16S ribosomal RNA". It matches the Rfam family "Bacterial small subunit ribosomal RNA", at positions 28 to 507 of the family's 1533-position model. The record is from RNAcentral.